Molecule: transfer RNA, 73 nt
Filed under: Actinomycetales bacterium
Lineage: Bacteria; Bacillati; Actinomycetota; Actinomycetes; Actinomycetales
Description: tRNA-Leu
Rfam family: tRNA
About the family: Transfer RNA (tRNA) molecules are approximately 80 nucleotides in length. Their secondary structure includes four short double-helical elements and three loops (D, anti-codon, and T loops). Further hydrogen bonds mediate the characteristic L-shaped molecular structure. tRNAs have two regions of fundamental functional importance: the anti-codon, which is responsible for specific mRNA codon recognition, and the 3' end, to which the tRNAs corresponding amino acid is attached (by aminoacyl-tRNA synthetases). tRNAs cope with the degeneracy of the genetic code in two manners: having more than one tRNA (with a specific anti-codon) for a particular amino acid; and 'wobble' base-pairing, i.e. permitting non-standard base-pairing at the 3rd anti-codon position.
Source: RNAcentral
GCCCCCGUAGCCCAACGGCAGAGGCAGCCGACUUAAAAUCGGCGCAGUGCGGGUUCGACUCCCGCCGGGGGCA